GGGAAGGUGGCUCAGUGGUAGAGUGCUUGCCUUGCAUGCAUGAGGCCUUGGGUUUGAUUCCUCAGCAUCACA
Molecule: non-coding RNA, 72 nt
Organism: Dipodomys ordii (Ord's kangaroo rat)
Lineage: Eukaryota; Metazoa; Chordata; Mammalia; Rodentia; Heteromyidae
Source: Rfam